ACUGGCUCCCACGUGGCAGUUGAAAAUGACGCCGUCUCUUUUAUUUUUAUUUUUCCCUUCGUUCCCCUCAUUCGAUUUCCCUCCCCGCCUUCGAUUUCUUUACCCCUUCCAGAACCCAUUCAUUUCCUCCUCCAGAUUUCUUCUACCCCUUGAAAUCUCCUUCGUGGCCCAUAACAGACCUAAUUCUUGCAACUUAUUCCAUCUUUAACCAUAGAAGUUGACCCACGAAACCAACUUAUUUGGUCCUCUAGCAUGACGUCUGUAGAAUCAUUCAUCUUCAUCAAGCACGGCAACCAAGCACGAUUCCUCUUCAUCAAGCACUAUUCCCCCCACUCCCACGAAAGCCCCACCUUCCCACUCGAAAUCGUAAUCCAUUCGAAGCCCCUAACCAUUAUCCUACCCGCGGGGUAAUCCCUUGAGGUAAUUUGUCCAAAAUCUAACCCUAACCCUAACAUCAUAAAUAUAUAAUGAGCUGUUAAGGAGCCAAAAAGAGCUCGAGAUGAAACUCGAUGACAUCAAGAGGAGGGAAAUUGAGCUUUGUAAGAGAACGGAUGAGAUCGAGAAGAGAGAGUUGGGGCUUCUGGUGCAAGAAGUUGAAAUAUUGCGUUGACGCAGAUUACUCCAGCUAUAUUUGGCUUUUGUAGUUAUUGUGUCAUGUUAUGUAAUAAUACGAAGGUGAUUUUGGAACUUGGUAUAUGUUGUAAAAUUUGUAGGCUUAUGUUAGACUAAUUAGUUGGUGUUUACCAGAGUUCACCAACGAAUUUUGUGAAAUUUGUACUUAGUUUAAGUUUCUAAAGUGAUUUGGGAUUGAGUUUUGUAUAAAUGAAUGAUUAGUUUAA
Juglans microcarpa x Juglans regia is the source of this 839-nucleotide long non-coding RNA. RefSeq lists it as uncharacterized. The record is from RefSeq and is a predicted model, not a curated record. The transcript is spliced from 2 exons. Lineage: Eukaryota; Viridiplantae; Streptophyta; Magnoliopsida; Fagales; Juglandaceae.